GAUGAACGCUGGCGGCGUGCCUAAUACAUGCAAGUCGAGCGAACGGACGAGAAGCUUGCUUCUCUGAUGUUAGCGGCGGACGGGUGAGUAACACGUGGAUAACCUACCUAUAAGACUGGGAUAACUUCGGGAAACCGGAGCUAAUACCGGAUAAUAUUUUGAACCGCAUGGUUCAAAAGUGAAAGACGGUCUUGCUGUCACUUAUAGAUGGAUCCGCGCUGCAUUAGCUAGUUGGUAAGGUAACGGCUUACCAAGGCAACGAUGCAUAGCCGACCUGAGAGGGUGGACCGCCACCCUGGAACUUAGGCCCCGCUCCAACCCCCUCGGGGGGGCACCGGUGGGAAUCCUCCCGAAUGGGGCAAAAGCCUACCGGGGCACCCCCGCGGAGGUAUUAAGGUCCUUCGGUUCUUAAACCCUUGUAAUAAGGGAAGAACAAAUGUGUAGGUAACUGGGCCCUUCUGGCCGGACCCUAUCAGAAAGCCACGGCUAACUACGUG
This 497-nucleotide ribosomal RNA is filed under the name uncultured bacterium. RNAcentral's name for it is "partial 16S ribosomal RNA". It matches the Rfam family "Bacterial small subunit ribosomal RNA", at positions 28 to 507 of the family's 1533-position model. The record is from RNAcentral.